ACACAUGCAAGUCGAACGGUAACAGGUCUUCGGAUGCUGACGAGUGGCGAACGGGUGAGUAAUGCAUCGGAACGUGCCCAGUCGUGGGGGAUAACGCAGCGAAAGCUGUGCUAAUACCGCAUACGAUCUAUGGAUGAAAGCGGGGGAUCGCAAGACCUCGCGCGAUUGGAGCGGCCGAUGUCAGAUUAGCUAGUUGGUGGGGUAAAGGCCCACCAAGGCGACGAUCUGUAGCUGGUCUGAGAGGACGACCAGCCACACUGGGACUGAGACACGGCCCAGACUCCUACGGGAGGCAGCAGUGGGGAAUUUUGGACAAUGGGCGCAAGCCUGAUCCAGCAAUGCCGCGUGCAGGAAGAAGGCCUUCGGGUUGUAAACUGCUUUUGUACGGAACGAAAAGGUCUGGGUUAAUACCCUGGGCUCAUGACGGUACCGUAAGAAUA
Molecule: ribosomal RNA, 440 nt
Filed under: uncultured bacterium
Lineage: Bacteria
Description: bacterial SSU rRNA
Rfam family: Bacterial small subunit ribosomal RNA
Source: RNAcentral